GUAAGAUCAAUAGUCGAGAAGGAAGAGCUCAAGGCUGAUUUGAGUUGGCAUUUUUUUUACUAUUUACAGAUUUGAAGGACCUAAAGUACGAUGAUAAUGGAGCUGCAACUGAACCACUGUGAAAUGGAGACCCGAGACAGCAACCGAGACUGACCCUUGGAGGAGCUCCUUCUAUUUUCCCGGCCACUCCCACACACUUAAGGCCGGGUGAAGGAGUAGAAAGCGGAGCUGGGUCAGAACAAAUGUUCGCAUGAAAGUUGAAUGAUGGCUGCAAGCCAAAGCCAGAAUGGAAAUCACGAACGCAGCACGGACACUAAAGAGGAAUCGCGCUUGCUGGCCAUGUCCGAGUGGAGACCCGGGAAAGGGGUUGCUGGUUGCUGGUUGCUGGUUGCUGGGGGCAGGAUGUUGUCGGGUAUGUAAACAAGCGACGUUUCACAAGUAAUUUGAAAUUGCAUUUAAAGUGCCUUAAAUGCUUGACAUUAGUCGACGGGGGACCGGGAACUGGGAACGGACUUCAUUAGCGCAGUUUUUGUGCACAACAUGGCGUAUGAUUAAUAUGACGAGUAGUAUACGAGCCAGUAAUGAACUUAACAUAAUCUUUAGCCCAUCACGGGCAUCACGGCAUCCUUCCUGGACAUUCAUGGGCGGUGGCUAAUUGUUUUCAGCUCCGAGAGAGAGAGAGAGAGAGAGAGAGCUGUUGCAUAACAGCAGCUCCGGAACAUUAGGAAGCCCGGAAUCAGUUGAGCAGAAAACGGAAAUACAGGAUGAAGGAGUGAGGAGUGAGGAGUGAGACACCAGCGUUUGGCCUGGAAACGGGCAAUAAAAUUUCGGUCAAAACGCCAAGGCAAAAGGAGGCAUAUAGAUAAGCGUCAAACAGUUCACACAUUUCCAUGCCAUGCCCUGUCCCCUCUCUGGAAGUUCGCUCAGGCGUGAAUAUUAAACGUUUUGCUUAGAAAUGCUACUACCAACAUCCUUCGUUCGCCAGCAGUUCCAUCCCUCGGAAAAAGCAAGAAAAAAAAAGAAAAUAAUAAAACCCAUUUCCAUCCCCGCAACUUCAUGUCCAGGCGACAUGUUUGGGCAAACUUUUGCGGGAAAAGUUCUUUCUCUCUGGCAGAAAGUUGGCCCAGUUGGAUGGAAUGGAAAUAUGAAGCCGGUAGAGACUCUGGAGGAGCAGAUAUGUGUCCUGGGAGGCAAGUUGCAGAUAGCUUUAGUUUGGUUAAGCAACGAGCUGGAAGAUCGCCGGCCAGCAAUUACAUCAGUUCAUAGUGAAUUCAAUUUCCGGGAAAUUAUGCUGGAGUAGCUACCAGGAAAAUUGUGUUAUAUAUAACUUUGGUUACGCUUCUUCCAACAUUUAAAUAAAUAACUUGAUAUCCUUUCGAAA
Molecule: long non-coding RNA, 1381 nt
Organism: Drosophila serrata
Lineage: Eukaryota; Metazoa; Arthropoda; Insecta; Diptera; Drosophilidae
Source: RefSeq, a predicted model, not a curated record